CAGCAGCCGCGGUAAUACGUAGGUGGCAAGCGUCGUCCGGAAUUAUUGGGCGUAAAGGGCUCGCAGGCGGUUUCUUAAGUCUGAUGUGAAAGCCCCCGGCUCAACCGGGGAGGGUCAUUGGAAACUGGGAAACUUGAGUGCAGAAGAGGAGAGUGGAAUUCCACGUGUAGCGGUGAAAUGCGUAGAGAUGUGGAGGAACACCAGUGGCGAAGGCGACUCUCUGGUCUGUAACUGACGCUGAGGAGCGAAAGCGUGGGGAGCGAACAGGAUUAGAUACCCCGGUAGUCCCUGUCUCUUAUAC
This 301-nucleotide ribosomal RNA is filed under the name uncultured bacterium. Its description in RNAcentral is "partial 16S ribosomal RNA". It matches the Rfam family "Bacterial small subunit ribosomal RNA", at positions 509 to 807 of the family's 1533-position model. The record is from RNAcentral.